RNAcentral lists this ribosomal RNA (404 nucleotides) under uncultured bacterium. RNAcentral describes it as "bacterial SSU rRNA". It matches the Rfam family "Bacterial small subunit ribosomal RNA", at positions 29 to 421 of the family's 1533-position model. The record is from RNAcentral.
AACGAACGCUGGCGGCGCGCUUAAUACAUGCAAGUCGAACGAGAAGGUGUAGCAAUACACUUGUAAAGUGGCGAACGGGUGAGGAAUACAUGGGUAACCUACCCUCGAGUGGGGAACAACCAGCCGAAAGGUUGGCUAAUACCGCGUACGCUUCCGGAUCUUCGGAUUCGGAAGGAAAGUCAUACCGUGGGUAUGACGCUCAAGGAUGGGCUCAUGUCCUAUCAGCUUGUUGGUAGGGUAACGGCCUACCAAGGCUCCGACGGGUAGCUGGUCUGAGAGGACGAUCAGCCACACUGGCACUGCGACACGGGCCAGACUCCUACGGGAGGCAGCAGUAAGGAAUAUUGCGCAAUGGGCGAAAGCCUGACGCAGCGACGCCGCGUGGGGGAGUGAAGGUCGUUCGG